Paramormyrops kingsleyae is the source of this 643-nucleotide long non-coding RNA. RefSeq lists it as uncharacterized. The record is from RefSeq and is a predicted model, not a curated record. Lineage: Eukaryota; Metazoa; Chordata; Actinopteri; Osteoglossiformes; Mormyridae.
GGCUUGCCUCCUAGCGUCUGGUCACGGAAUGCCAAGACAGAGAAGGAAGCUGUUGGCCUUUCAGUGCGGCGGGCCGUCGAAGGACUUAUAUAAAGCGCCCCCUAUCUUGCCACGACCACAAUUUGCGUCGGGACCCAUGGGUUGAGAUUUGCUGCGCUGUGCGGGUAUAUACAGAAAACCCUGUGACGUAAAGGAGUGCAGCGCGCAGGUUUGGAGCUGGUACAAUCUCGAAGAGCCUUCUCUCCCAAACAUCCCCAGUCUCUCCCAAUCAUCCACAGUCUCUCCCACUCUCCCCCAGUCGCUCCCAGUGCUAAAUUACAAUGAGAUCCCCAGUGGUGCGUAUCCUGAUUCCUGUUCAUCUCCCUCCCGCCAUGUUUACGACAGAAUAGCCGUCUUUGUUUUUUACAACCUUUCAUUAAGGCUUGUUUUUUGCCUCUUAAUGUUUACUGCCCCCCUAGGACAAAUUCUUACAGUAUGACAGUCCCUUAUUAGAAUAAAUGUGCUGAAAUGUCUUGCCCUCUACAUGUGUUAUCUGCUUACAUGACACUGCUAAAUGCCCUCUUUUUACCAAUAAGGAGAGUUCCUCCGGCAAGCUAGCCUGUUAGCACAUUUUAGCAUGCAUUUACUGGCUCUCACUCUAACA